CCCUUAUGCCCAGGGCUACACACGUACUACAAAUGGUCGGUACAAAGGGGCUGGCGAUGCCGACGAGGCGGAGCGAAUCCCAUAAAACCGGUCCCAGUUCGGAUCGGAGGCUGCAACCCGCCUCCGUGAAGUCGGAGUUGCUAGUAAUCGCGGAUCAGCAUGCCGCGGUGAAUACCGGUUCCCGGGCCUU
This 190-nucleotide ribosomal RNA is filed under the name uncultured Coriobacteriaceae bacterium. RNAcentral's name for it is "partial 16S ribosomal RNA". It matches the Rfam family "Bacterial small subunit ribosomal RNA", at positions 1199 to 1382 of the family's 1533-position model. The record is from RNAcentral. Lineage: Bacteria; Bacillati; Actinomycetota; Coriobacteriia; Coriobacteriales; Coriobacteriaceae.